Long non-coding RNA from Ficedula albicollis (Collared flycatcher), 1471 nucleotides. RefSeq lists it as uncharacterized. The record is from RefSeq and is a predicted model, not a curated record. Lineage: Eukaryota; Metazoa; Chordata; Aves; Passeriformes; Muscicapidae. The transcript has 3 exons.
CGUUCCAAUUCGCCCGCCAGGGUGUGCAGCCUUCCCAGGCCCCGUCACGGGCGGAGCGGCGGGAAGGGGAGCGCUCGCGCCCCCUCAGGGCAGGAGGAGCCCGGAAAGUGCAGGAAUGGCAGCGGAGACGGGCAGCGCUGCCUUGUCCGGCUAAACGCGGCGAGGAUUUCACGCGAGGGUUUGCAGGGCGAUGGAAUCCGUCGCUGUGGAUUCUUCGCCUUGUUUACUCCCACACGCGGCUUUGCAUAGGGGUGGGAGCAGGCCCGGAACUCUGGUGUCUGGAGGCGAUCCCAGACAUGAGGACACAAUGGGAGAUAAAUUCAUCAGGAGUUGCCCUGCGGAGAAGGAUUGGAGGUUGUGGUGGGUGAAAGGCUGGACACGAGCCAGCAGUGUGUACUUCCAGCCCAGAAACCCAAACGCAUCCCGGGCUGCAUCAGAAGGACUGCUGGCAGGUCAAGGGAGGCGAUUCCCCCCUUUCCCCUCGGGACACCCCGCCUGGAGAGCCGUGCCCGCCUCACCCUCAGCACAAGGAAGGCAGCGUGUUGCAGCGGAUCCAGAGGAGGCCAGGAAGGGAAUGCCUGGAUUUCAAUCUCUGAACAGGUCUGGAGAGAAAUUGGAGGUGCAUAGCAGCCAUAACCACAAUCUGGGUGGCAGGCCUGCCAGGACUGCAGUGAGGAUGAAGCAAAACAGUACAGUGUUUUUUAAGGAUGGGAUUGAAAUUGGCUAGGAAAGGCUGUCCAGCCUGGGAGCUGCAGAAGGGAACACAGCAGGUAAGGGACUGGGGCUGGCUGAAAAACCAGGGGAAGGAGGGAACUUUGGCAUCAGAAUCAAGAGGAUGAAAGAUAGGGAUAGGGGAAAUAAAAAAAACAGAAAGAAGAGAAAAAUGCAACUGUCUGAGCAAAUACAUUGAGUCAAAGAGGUGUGUAGGGAAUAUGAGAUAAGGAAAUGGCCACCAGGCUGUGAGUUGGGGCAGGGAAUAGGUGAGAACUUGCAGAUCUGGAGUGCAAAGGUUGAUUGGAGGUUCAACGAGUCAAAGAAGGGAAAUGGAUCUGUCUGAGAACAGGAAGGGAGAAUGGGAUCUGGAAGGAGAUGAAUGAAAGUAGGAGUCAGGUGAAGGCUGUAGAUAAAUGAAGAUAAUCUUUUAUACUCCUUCCAUCACCAAAAUGUCUGAGUAGCUUUUUAGAGAAAAUUAAUAACAGCCCGAGUUUUCCCUGGGUGAUAGGGGAGGACCUUUCUCUUUUGAGCCGGAACUAGACUGAGUAAUUUUGGUGUUUAGUUUGUGCUUUUGGGGGGAUCUUUGAUCAGAGACCCUUUGGAGUUUGGUGACAAACUGUGAAUAUCUUUUGUAGUGGGAAGCCUUUCUCAAAUGAUUCUGAAAGAUUUCCUGCAGUGUUGCUUAAAAACAACCAUACUCUGAUCAUACUGUCUUUUUUUGGUCCAGUUAACCUCAAAAAAGACAAACUUUGUCUGC